AUUGAACGCUGGCGGCAGGCUUAACACAUGCAAGUCGAGCGGGGUGAUGGUGCUUGCACUAUCACUUAGCGGCGGACGGGUGAGUAAUGCUUAGGAAUCUGCCUAUUAGUGGGGGACAACAUCUCGAAAGGGAUGCUAAUACCGCAUACGUCCUACGGGAGAAAGCAGGGGAUCACUUGUGACCUUGCGCUAAUAGAUGAGCCUAAGUCGGAUUAGCUAGUUGGUGGGGUAAAGGCCUACCAAGGCGACGAUCUGUAGCGGGUCUGAGAGGAUGGUCCGCCACACUGGGACUGAGACACGGCCCAGACUCCUACGGGAGGCAGCAGUGGGGAAUAUUGGACAAUGGGGGGAACCCUGAUCCAGCCAUGCCGCGUGUGUGAAGAAGGUCUUCGGAUUGUAAAGCACUUUAAGUUGGGAGGAAGGGCAGUAAGCUAAUACCUUGCUGUUUUGACGUUACCGACAGAAUAAGCACCGGCUAACUCUGUGCCAGCCGCCGCCGUAA
RNAcentral lists this ribosomal RNA (502 nucleotides) under uncultured bacterium. RNAcentral describes it as "partial 16S ribosomal RNA". It matches the Rfam family "Bacterial small subunit ribosomal RNA", at positions 30 to 523 of the family's 1533-position model. The record is from RNAcentral.